Molecule: long non-coding RNA, 1191 nt
Filed under: Sorghum bicolor (sorghum)
Lineage: Eukaryota; Viridiplantae; Streptophyta; Magnoliopsida; Poales; Poaceae
Description: long non-coding RNA (SBIC_LNC012709)
Source: RNAcentral
GCAAGUACCUAGUUUUCAACCUUAUACUCUCUUAAGUUUUAGAUACAACUAUUUAGACUUAAGAUUUGCUCUGAGCCUAAAACUUGUAGGUAGCAAUUGCUUGAUCUAAGUCUAGGUAGUUGACGGAUAUGAUAUGGGAAAGUUUUGAGCUGAUGUUAGUCUUGCUCCUAGAGAUGCUAGAGUUUUAGAGAAUUUUAAUUUUAAAAUCUUAAACUACUACAUGAUGAUUUCAUUUAUGAUGAGAGUUUAAAAUUCCUACCACACCCAAAUACUCAUGCUUACUAGAUUAGGAACCCCUUCCACUUAUAUUUCAACUUAUAAGCAUUGAGGGUAGUUAACCUAUGUUCACCCUAAGGAACUACUCAUGCAGUUAAAGUCAAUAUUAUGUGCUCUCCAUCCAUUGAUCUUAGCUACAGCUAUCCUCAGAAGUACGCAACCACUUACAUCCACACAUUCACUAUGUGCUACUUCUAUUCCUGGAAGUACCACCCACAUAUACGCACUACACUAUAUGUUGUUUCUAUCUUGGAAACACGCACCUCUGCUGCUCCUACCCUGGGAUUAUGCAUUCACCCAUACACAUCCCACAUCCACUUAGAAAAUGUUCUACUGCUACACUAGGAGAAGAUACCCAAAAAUAUUCAAUGUCUUAUUCUACUUAUCCGAUAAAACUCCAGUUAUUUCAGUUGAUACUCCGUAUUGUUAUCAGUGCAUUAAAAGGGUUGGCUGAUCUCUAAAAAAGAGAGAAAGAAAGAGAGAGAAAAAAAAUAAAGAGGACAAAAGUCCCAAAAGAAAAAGAAAGAAAACCAAGUCUUGAUUUUCAGAUUAGGGAGGUAUGUUAUUCCAAAGGAGCAACUGUAGAAUUAGAUAUUCAUCAUCUGUCAUCGCCGCUCAUAACCACUUUCAUUCUUUUCAUUCACAUGCACAUAUGACAUGAUUGUAUAAUUAGUUUCUCUAGAUCCAUGGUCUAACUAUGCAAUACAUACAAGUAGGUUUGAAUUGUCUUUCCCACCUAUGUGCUCCACAGAAGCCAAUUAGAAGUAGGGUGAGAGAGAGAAGGCAUACUCACUUGCCUUGGAGAGGAUCCAAAAAUACCACAUAUGAGAGACUGGAAAAGGUUAUACAAGGAAUCUUAAAGUUUUAUUUGAAAACCUUGCAAAAACUCCGAAAUAAUAGUUGAUCAUAAGGGCG